CAAAAUAGUGUCCACAUAAAGAAAAUUAGAAGAAAAAAAAUGGAGUAGGAAGAAAGGGCUCAAUGGUGAAGUUUUGGAUCAUCAUCACUUUUUCCAAAGGAUUUUUGGAUGAUACUCUUAAAUUUUGUAUGAUACCCUUUUGUUUCUCUUUCUUACUCUUAUAUUUUUUGACUAUUUAUUAGUUUUUGUGGUAGACAAUAAUGACUCAAGUAACUCUAUUAUAUAGAUAUAGAUUUACCAAUUAUUUCACUUUCUUUUUAUCUUAUUGAUGAUAUAACAUUUAUUAGUAUACAUUUUUAUCUUUUUUCUUAUUUUAUUUUAUCUUUUAAUAUGAAUAAUUGUUUCUUGUAGAGGAGGAAAAGAGGAUAAAAGAGACUUUUAUUUAUGUUUUUGGUGCAUCAAUAGUAUUCACACCAAUUUAAUAUGAAUAAUUUUUUCGUGUAGAUGAGUUGAAAAGGAUAAAAGAGAUUUAUAUUCGAGAAGCCUAUAAAAUUACAACUCAUGUAAGUAUAUAUUUUUAAGUCUAAUAUUUGCACCAAUUAAAGAUCAACUUUAAUUUUUUUUUAUUUUAUUUUAAAGUUUGUUUAUAUUCGUGCAGUGUUAAUUGUUAUAAAUUGUUAUACAUUUAUUUUUACAUUUACAUUUUCAAUAUUUUCUAGCUAUUUAUCCAUUUUAUAUUUUUCUGAUUUAAUUUAAUUUAUUCAAUUAUUGACUUUACUCAUUUUAAAUUAUAGGUACAACCUUGAAGUUUCACUAUGAAUCAAAAGAAAAUCAUUGUUGGAGACAUUCAAUCAAAACAGAACAACUUGAUGAGUUUAUGAAUAUAUAUACGUCUUAUUUUUACUGAUAUUUUGUCUAAAAAAUGUUAAAUGAUCUACUUAGGUUUCAUGAAAAUGAUAGAAACAAAAUUGUCUGACAUAAAUUUUUUGAAUUUGUCGUAUAAAAAGAAUAUUGAUGCAACUCAACUAAGAAGUUGUCCAUAUAGAUUAUAUUUGUACAUGUAUUAUGGACAUAAACACGGUUGGUUUAGUAGAGUUUAUAUACCGGCAUCUAAUGAUUGUAAAACAAUUUCAUCUAAUAUAAAAUACUACUUACA
Molecule: long non-coding RNA, 1096 nt
Filed under: Medicago truncatula (barrel medic)
Lineage: Eukaryota; Viridiplantae; Streptophyta; Magnoliopsida; Fabales; Fabaceae
Description: lncRNA gene8792
Source: RNAcentral